Molecule: long non-coding RNA, 1047 nt
Organism: Balaenoptera acutorostrata (minke whale)
Lineage: Eukaryota; Metazoa; Chordata; Mammalia; Artiodactyla; Balaenopteridae
Exons: 3
Source: RefSeq, a predicted model, not a curated record
GGAAAGCGGCCUGAGACGUGCCUCGUGUCUCUUGCGAGAGACAUGGAGCUGGGGGGAGUGGGACCUCCUGGAUCCAGAGAAAGCCUUGGGCAUCUUGAGGACGUUUUUCUUCUGCUGACGGACAGAAAAAUCCUUCCGGGGGGACGGCAGUCCGAAUCUGGUGACGUCAGGUGGCAGGUGUUAGGGGCCGCUUUGAGUGGCGAGCUACGUGUGAAAAGGACCAGUUUGCAGGUCCACCUGUCACUCAACUGGCCUGUGAGCCCCCGAGGUCGGGGGCCCUGUCUUACUCUGUAUCACCCACUUCUAACUCAGUGUCUGGCACCCUUCAAAUGAAUUUUUCAAAUAAAUGAAUGAAUGGAUGGAUCUAUUGAAAUGAAUGAAUCCUUCAAAUGAAUGGAUCCUUCAAAUGGAUGGAUGGAUGAGGUUAGGAGAUGACUGGUGUGAAAGCAAAGGGAUAUACAGCCUUUUCAGAGUCCAGAAGACAAUUCUGAGAAAAAUUAGGCUCAGGAAAAAAAAAAAAAGAAAAAGAAAAAUUGUCGUGAGCCCGUUUCCUGAUCUGUAAACUGUAAGGCCUGGAGAAGCGAUCUCUCAUGUUCCUUCCAUGGAUACAGUGGACGCGGACGGGAACUCUCUGGCUUCCUGCUACAGAACCCCAGGAGACAAAACAGUGUGUUCACCUUGGGCUUCGUUGGUGGAUGUUUCUAUUCUUCUGGUCUUUCUCUGUUUUCAAGCAGAUCAAAGCACAUCUUGUGAAAUGUUUUGGCCCUGGAUUAGAAUUUAAGAUGUGCAAAGGUCAAGAGUUGAUGGUCAUUUAAAAAAAAUCAUUUUGACCCUGGUGAAUCGGGGGGCCACCACGAGGGUCAGAAGAGGCCAGGUGCAUCCCUGCCAGCCCCCCUGGAGACAUAAAGAUGUCCCAUGAGGGUUAGUGACAGCUCUGCAUCGACCCCCUGCCGAGCCGGAGCACCAAGCCUCCCUCUCUUGACUUAUGGGACUGGCCAGGGCAGUGACAGGAGCCUGGCCGAGGAGCCCGGCUGAAACCCUGGCCCG